RNAcentral lists this long non-coding RNA (252 nucleotides) under Setaria viridis. RNAcentral's name for it is "long non-coding RNA (SVIR_LNC010952)". The record is from RNAcentral. Lineage: Eukaryota; Viridiplantae; Streptophyta; Magnoliopsida; Poales; Poaceae.
CACUCCUCUUGUAUUUCAGAAAUGAGUUCCAGUGAUCUCCUAACUUUGCCCAGUCAAUAAAAUCUUGAGUUCGGCCCUUCUUGAUAUAGUUGUCAUCAACGCCGUGCUCGGGCUCAUCAUUGCCAUCAUCAGACAUGUUAAGGAAUAUGUCCACCUGGCUACCCUCAUACUCGGUGUAGGUUCUUGGAACGUUUGAGUCACUACCGCCAGCAAUAAUCUGCUCCAUUAUAUACCUUUCAUCCUCGAAGUCUC